GAAGGUGGCAAGCGUUGUUCGGAAUCAUUGGGCUUAAAGCGCACGUAGGCGGACUGGAAAGUGUCUUGUGAAAACCCACGGCUUAACCGUGGAAUUGCUUGGCAAACUAUCAGUCUUGAGGCAAGUAGGGGUACAUGGAACUCUUAGUGGAGCGGUGGAAUGCGUAGAUAUUAAGAGGAACGCCAAUGGUGAAGACAGUGUACUGGGCUUGUACUGACGCUGAGGUGCGAAAGCGUGGGGAGCGAACGGGGAUUAGAUACCCCGGUAGUCCACGCCGUAAACGAUGUCUACUAGAUCGUGGGAGUUCUGACACUUUCACGGUCGAAGCAAAAGUGAUAAGUAGACCGCCUGGGGGAGUACGGUCGCAAGGCUA
RNAcentral lists this ribosomal RNA (373 nucleotides) under uncultured organism. RNAcentral's name for it is "partial 16S ribosomal RNA". It matches the Rfam family "Bacterial small subunit ribosomal RNA", at positions 527 to 896 of the family's 1533-position model. The record is from RNAcentral.